This 406-nucleotide ribosomal RNA is filed under the name uncultured bacterium. Its description in RNAcentral is "partial 16S ribosomal RNA". It matches the Rfam family "Bacterial small subunit ribosomal RNA", at positions 30 to 526 of the family's 1533-position model. The record is from RNAcentral.
AUUGAACGCUGGCGGCAGGCCUAACACAUGCAAGUCGAACGAGUGGCGGACGGGUGAGUAAUGUCUGGGAAACUGCCCGAUGGAGGGGGAUAACUACUGGAAACGGUAGCUAAUACCGCAUACCAUCGGAUGUGCCCAGAUGGGAUUAGCUAGUAGGUGGGGUAACGGCUCACUUAGGCGACGAUCCCUAGCUGGUCUGAGAGGAUGGCCAGCAACACUGGAACGGAGAAACGGUCCAGACUCCUACGGGAGGCAGCAUGGGGGAAUAUUUCACAAUGGGCGCAAUCCUGAUGCAGCCAUGCCGCGUGUAUGAAGAAGUCCUUCGGGUUGUAAAGUACUUUCAGCGAGGAGGCGUGACUCGCAGAAGAAGCACCGGCUAACUCCGUGCCAGCAGCCGCGGUAAUAC